GACGAACGCUGGCGGCGUGCCUAAUACAUGCAAGUAGAACGCUGAAGAGAGGAGCUUGCUCUUCUUGGAUGAGUUGCGAACGGGUGAGUAACGCGUAGGUAACCUGCCUUGUAGCGGGGGAUAACUAUUGGAAACGAUAGCUAAUACCGCAUAACAAUGGAUGACACAUGUCAUUUAUUUGAAAGGGGCAAUUGCUCCACUACAAGAUGGACCUGCGUUGUAUUAGCUAGUAGGUGAGGUAAUGGCUCACCUAGGCGACGAUACAUAGCCGACCUGAGAGGGUGAUCGGCCACACUGGGACGGAGACACGGCACAGACUCCUACGGGAGGCAGCAGUAGGGAAUCUUCGGCAAUGGGGGCAACCCUGACCGAGCAACGCCGCGUGAGUGAAGAAGGUUUUCGGAUCGUAAAGCUCUGUUGUAAGUCAAGAACGGGUGUGAGAGUGGAAAGUUCACACUGUGACGGUAGCUUACCAGAAAGGGACGGCUAACUACGUG
This 497-nucleotide ribosomal RNA is filed under the name uncultured bacterium. Its description in RNAcentral is "partial 16S ribosomal RNA". It matches the Rfam family "Bacterial small subunit ribosomal RNA", at positions 28 to 507 of the family's 1533-position model. The record is from RNAcentral.